RNAcentral lists this long non-coding RNA (744 nucleotides) under Oryza sativa Indica Group (long-grained rice). RNAcentral describes it as "lncRNA OsZS97_04G002390". The record is from RNAcentral. Lineage: Eukaryota; Viridiplantae; Streptophyta; Magnoliopsida; Poales; Poaceae.
UGGAGUGGUGGCUUGCAGCAGGCUGGACGCGGGUGCGCAGUGGCGGUGCAGCAGCUGGCGCAGUCGCAACAUGCGCAAGGCAGCAGGUCGCCGGUGGGGACGCGCGGAGGCAGCGUCGACGCGCAGCGUGCGGGCGCAGCAGCAGCUAGCAACAGCCCAGUGCACGGGCGCAUGGUCGCGUCCUGGUCUGCUACUGCUACUGCUACUGCUACUCUACUCAAGUGCUCACAUGCUAUUUCUAAUCAGCUAAUGGCACUAAUCAUACCUGCGUGACUAUUCCAUAUUUUCUACUACUGGAUAGAGGCCUUUGCAGAGUACCUCCAUCGGUAUGGAAGAAAAUAUAUUGUUACUGACUUAUACGGAGUAUUUGUUAUUCCAUUGGAUAUACGGAGUACAACUUAUCUGUGACUGUAACCACAUGUGCAUAAGUUGGUUUAAAACUUUAAAUGGGCUUCCCUGAAGACAUCGUGAGAAGUGCUCUGAAGAUUGUCGACGGCGACGAGAACAUGAUUCUUGAAAAGCUCUGCUCUGUCUGAGGCCCUAUGGUCGAUAUGAACUGUAAAUUAAAUCCCCAUUUGUAAUAAGACAACAGUGCUUGCUAAUGCUCAUUUUCUGUCUUUUCAGUGUGCCCUUUAUGACACCUGUAAAAUCUAUUAGCUUGAGGCACACAUUAAGUUUUAUGUUAUUUUUGUUACAAGUAUAACGGUUAUGCUCAUGAAUAAAUGGAAAUGGUGUGAAUUGAGG